UGGGGAAUAUUGCACAAUGGGCGCAAGCCUGAUGCAGCAACGCCGCGUGAACGAUGAAGGUCUUCGGAUCGUAAAGUUCUGUUGCAGGGGAAGAUAAUGACGGUACCCUGUGAGGAAGCCACGGCUAACUACGUGCCAGCAGCCGCGGUAAUACGUAGGUGGCAAGCGUUGUCCGGAAUUAUUGGGCGUAAAGCGCGCGCAGGCGGCUACUUAAGUCCAUCUUAAAAGUGCGGGGCUUAACCCCGUGAUGGGAUGGAAACUGAGAAGCUGGAGUGUCGGAGAGGAAAGUGGAAUUCCUAGUGUAGCGGUGAAAUGCGUAGAGAUUAGGAAGAACACCGGUGGCGAAGGCGACUUUCUGGACGACAACUGACGCUUAGGCGCGAAAGCGUGGGGAGCAAACAGG
Molecule: ribosomal RNA, 403 nt
Filed under: Verrucomicrobiota bacterium
Lineage: Bacteria; Pseudomonadati; Verrucomicrobiota
Description: Verrucomicrobia bacterium partial 16S ribosomal RNA
Rfam family: Bacterial small subunit ribosomal RNA
Source: RNAcentral